This is a long non-coding RNA of Quercus lobata, 725 nucleotides long. RefSeq lists it as uncharacterized. The transcript is spliced from 4 exons. NCBI's taxonomy places the organism in Eukaryota, Viridiplantae, Streptophyta, Magnoliopsida, Fagales, Fagaceae. The record is from RefSeq and is a predicted model, not a curated record.
AAGCCAAAAGAAGUUUCAAAUAAGCACGGACACGCUAAAUUUGGCCAAGUACCCGUGUCGGACACGUGUAGAUAGGCGACCAAUGAAGCACCUCCGAUGUAGAUCGGCGAUGAAUGAAGCCCCUCUAACGUCACUGAGGCUCCGCCGAUUAUUUCCUCACUUAUAGCAAUAUCAAGAUGGCUAGAUACAAAUGACAACAUCAAAAUAGUUAGACACGGCCGUACUCUAAUUCUCAGGAUUUUGAAGCAAACGCGGCCACAGUCCUCAUCGUCCUCCGCAGCGCACUCACCAAAUACAAAUACAAUCUACUAAUAUGCAGGCUGAACAAUGGGUUAAUAAUAUGACCAAAGCUGCAGAGAAUGAACCGCCAGAAGUAGAAUCAGAGGGUCAACCUUAUAGGCUUGGAUUGGGUGCAAAGGUCUCACGCCAAGCCAAAUUUGGACCUUCAAACGACCCACUUGAAAAGAAACUACGUGCUAAGUUAAACACUGGAAAAAGAAAAGCUGCUAUUAUUGCCAAGGAAUAUACUCCAUCUGCUAGAGAUGGAGGUGAUAAUAUGAGGAUGACGAUUUAGACAGCAGAACAAAUGCAUUUGACAAGAAGCGAGCAAGAGCUCCUAUGACUGUAUGUUCACAGGCAAAUAAAAAACAUAACUAUUUUUCCGUGUCUGUGGAGUCCUUGAGGGUUCUGUCUCUUUUGUUAUCUGUCACAUAUACUUUUUUUUU